This 686-nucleotide ribosomal RNA is filed under the name uncultured bacterium. RNAcentral describes it as "bacterial SSU rRNA". It matches the Rfam family "Bacterial small subunit ribosomal RNA", at positions 375 to 1097 of the family's 1533-position model. The record is from RNAcentral.
UUAGAUUGCUAUGCGAGCUAGAGCACGCGCUGGCAUAGGCCUCGGUGUAGACUUUGUCGGAGGGAAGACGUACCGUCGAUAGCUNGCUACUACGUGCAGCAGCCGCGGUAAACGUNGAGGCGAGCGUUAUCCGAAUUUACUGGGCGUAAGGCGCGUGCAGGUGGCUGGGCAAAGUUGGGCGUGAAAUCUCCUGGCUUNACUGGGAGGGUUCGUCCCAUACUGUUAGGCUUGAGUGCAGGAGAGGGAAGCGGAAUUCCCGGUGUAGCGGUAAUAUGCGCAGAUAUCGGGAGGAACACCAGUGGCGAAGGCGGCUUCCUGGCCUGUUACUGACGCUAAGACGCGAAAGCUAGGGGAGCGAACGGGAUUAGAUACCCCGGUAGUCCUAGCUGUAAACGAUGGAUACUAGGUGUGGGUGGUAUUGACCCCAUCCGUGCCGAAGCCAACGCGUUAAGUAUCCCGCCUGGGGAGUACGGCCGCAAGGCUAAAACACAAAGGAAUUGACGGGGGCCCGCACAAGCAGCGGAGCGUGUGGUUUAAUUCGAUGCAACGCGAAGAACCUUACCAGGGCUUGACAUGCAAGUGGUAGCGAAGCGAAAGCGGAGCGACCCUUCGGGGAGCUUGCACAGGUGCUGCAUGGCUGUCGUCAGCUCGUGCCGUGAGGUGUUGGGUUAAGUCCCGCAACGAGC